UGGAAGGACAGGAAACAAUGAAAAAUUGGUCACAGAAAGACAAGCAAAAAUGUAGCCAAAUGAAAUGAAUUGCCGCUACAGAAAGUUAUUUUGUCGGUAAGCUACCUUUCUAAGUUCUCACGAAGCUGAGAAACAAGUACACCAGAAUUUUCAAUCUUUUUUACCAAGUCAUCAUUUCUUUUUAGGAGGUCUUCAUUUCUCCUUAUUAGAUCAUCAUUUCUUCCAUGAGCCUCAGUACGUGCACUUUUUAUACCAUUGCCUUCUUGUUUCUCCAUUACAAAGUUAGACAAUCUUGAUAUGGCAUCUACUUGAAGCCUAAUUCGUAAAGACAUUAGUCACCAAAAGGAUGAUAUAAUGAUCAGUAAUUUGAUGGCACAGUAGUUGACAAUUAGAGAAAAGUAAAUUAAGAUACCAACUUCUGCACAGUAUCUUGAAGCUGGUGGGCCCUGUAUUCGCUAUCCCUAACUUUCUUAAAUAACACCUCAUUUCUCUCCUGAGCUUCAACAAGGGACCUCCUGAUUGCUUCAUUUUCUUGUCUUUCAGCUUCCAAAGAAGCUGUCAUAUCCUCCUUAACCCUGUUUUGGGAUAAAAACAACAGUUGCAACUUCACAAUGCAGAUUAGUAAUAAUGGAAAACAUGAAGAACUAUUAGAGUUAAGCAUACAAAUGAGGAAAUGAAUAAAACCUAGGUUUUGUGUGAUGCAUGCUGCAUAUCCCUAGUUGAUGAAAAGUCUUAAUCUAUCUCAGAUACUCACAAAUGCACUUCUAUGUUUAUUUUCUGCUGUUAUCAUUCUUUCAACUUUGAUAGGCUUGCAACACUGAAAGAUAAUCUGCAUGCAUGUGGCACAUAUCUGCCAUCAAUGUCUCGCUCUCUCUGCAUAUAUAUCUUUCCAGAACAUGUGAUCUUGAUUCAUUUUAGUGUUAUGCAAAAAAGGUAGUGGGACAUAAGAGUGUAUGAUCCUGACAAUAUGUCAUACUACAUUUAGUAUAGAAAGACAUCUAGGUGCUAUAUUAACAGCAUGUGAGGAUAAAAAAGUCUGGUUUUUAGUAUGGAACCACAUGCCUUGUACCACUGAUCUUGAGACAUGGGAAGAAAUUCCAAAAAAAAAAACAAUGAAUUUUUUUUUGAAGGGGGGGGGGGGUUCACAUGCUGACAAGGGAGAACUAUAGGAGCGUACUUGUAAUAUAAUAUACAUAAAGCUUUAUUGAAGGUACAUACGAAUUUAUAGUGUUUUGAAGAUGCUCAGCUUUUUUGUUGGCUUCUUCUGCUUUCAUCAGUAACUCUUCAUUUUUGUAUUCACUCUCAGUGAGUGCUUUCUUCAGUGCAUCCUUCUCAUGUCUCUCAGAUAUCAGCAAAGUGUCUUUCGCUGUAUUAUCACCAAGCCUGAAAUUGAUCACCAGUUAUUAUGUCAAGUACAUCUACAUUUACGUAAGCACACUCACUAACUAUAUGUAAGCAUUCCCAGAGCCAAGCACAGCUUAAUAAAAACAAUAGAUGUAUAAAGUACCUUUGUAUGCUGCCUUGAAGAAGACCAAUUUUUUUGUCAACGUCCUCAAGCUUCUUUAGUAACUGCAAAAUUCUUUCUUGACUUUCAGCUUGUGCCUUCAUGGUUGCACUGUUUUGUUCUCGUUCUCUCAACAGUAAAACCUCUGUAGCAGAUGCGUUUUCCUGAAGCCUAGUCUCAGGUAGAAAUAUGGAGUUGAUUCAAAAGUUAAAACAGAUAAUCUUCUGAUAGAAUUUAUGCCCCUAGAGGUUGUUAAGCAGACAAUAAGGAACGAUUAUGGACCUCUCAACAGUUAGCUGAAGCUGAAGAGUAUUUUUAUCAUAAUCCUGAAUUUUCUUGAUUAAUUCUUCAUUUCUACACUGAGUUUCGGUCAGAACUUUCUUGGUCGUCUCAUGUGCUUGUUUCUCUGAUAACAAAAGUGCAUCUCUGGAAGUAGCAUCCGCUUCAGACCUUUAAAAAUCACAGUGAAAGGUCACUAUCACAGUGUAAUGAUGAUACUGAGCAAGAAGUUGGGACACAUACUCAAGAGAAAGCAUCAGACCUCUUGAUGGUAUCUUCCAAUUGUUUUCUGGUUUCUUGGGACUGUUGUGACUCGUGUACUAAUUCAUUGAUCUUUUUCUGGGCGUUGGCUAUUUCUUCUUUAGUCGUUUUGUUUUCUUGUCUUUCUACUUCCAACAAAGAGUCUUUCUCCGCUGUGCGUUCUUCUAGUCUAUGUGCAAAAAGAAAAGAAAAUCCUCAAGAAACAGGCAGAUCAGAAAUGCUUGUAACAAAAGGAAUCUAACCUGUUAACUGAAUCCUCAAGCAUAUUGAUUUUUUUAGCUGAAUCCUCGAAACUUGUCAUCAAGUCUCGGUUUCUCCCUUGAGCUUCAGUUAGCGCUUUUACUGUACAGUCGAGAUUUUGUUUUGUCUUAAGCAGCAAAGAUUCCCUUGCCGUUGCAUGUUUCUCAAGUCUAAAAUCAUUAAGGAAGAGGAAGUAUGUGUUAGCUCAUAAAGUUGAAGUACAGGAUUAGCUCUCUUAAGUUGCACAUAUUGCAUUAUGCUUGAGUAAAGAAAGCUCAGCUCUACAACUAGUGACAAGAUAAGAACCUUUGAGCGUUCUCCAGCAUCUUGUUUAUAGUUUUUUCACUAUCAUCAACUUUCCUUAGCAAUUCCCAAUUUCUUUCCUGAGCUUUCAAAAGUGCUUGCUUGGUUUGAUCAUGCUCUUGCCUUUCUGCUACAUACAGGGCAUCCCUUGUGGUUGCAUUUUCCUCACACCUGUAUUCAGUGAGUGAGAAUUCUUAACGCUGCCAGCUCGUUAUAUUGAGGACUGGAAUAGAAAGGCAGAAGCAGCAUUGCUAAAGACGUCCAAAACGUACACAACAUCACCUGCACCUAUGAUCAAUCCUCUAUACGACACAUCAUUGCUAUGACAUAUAAUAUACUUUUUAAUCCUUUACUUUCAAAUAUUUCCAAAGAGGUAUUGAUAAAUGCAGCUGUGGAACUCCCUUUGUUGUUUCAUGUAACUACGACUCGCAUCGAGAUCUUAAGCACCUUGCUAAAACAUGC
Molecule: long non-coding RNA, 3049 nt
Filed under: Setaria italica (foxtail millet)
Lineage: Eukaryota; Viridiplantae; Streptophyta; Magnoliopsida; Poales; Poaceae
Description: long non-coding RNA (SITA_LNC001993)
Source: RNAcentral